CCACAUUAAAAUUAAUACAUUAAAAUUAAUACAUUAAAAUUAAUACAUUAAAAUUAAUACAUUAAAAUUAAUACAUCAAAAUUAAUUAGGUAAUUUAGGGUGAAAACUCCACAAGGGUAUCCCACAAAUAAGUGGAAUACCUAGCCAUAACCUUUUCCUGGGUAUGUGAACCUUUUCGAAGCUCAAAAAGAAACAUGUCAGAAUACCAAAUCAGGGUGCAAUCGAAGAUUACACCGGAAAAAUAUCGCAACAGUAAAUAGGAUAGGAUGAAUAAUGCAUGGC
RNAcentral lists this long non-coding RNA (282 nucleotides) under Lathyrus oleraceus (garden pea). RNAcentral describes it as "Pisum sativum (pea) long non-coding RNA (PSAT_LNC007746)". Lineage: Eukaryota; Viridiplantae; Streptophyta; Magnoliopsida; Fabales; Fabaceae. The record is from RNAcentral.